RNAcentral lists this transfer RNA (72 nucleotides) under Paramuricea clavata. It matches the Rfam family "tRNA". Rfam says of the family: Transfer RNA (tRNA) molecules are approximately 80 nucleotides in length. Their secondary structure includes four short double-helical elements and three loops (D, anti-codon, and T loops). The record is from Rfam by way of RNAcentral. Lineage: Eukaryota; Metazoa; Cnidaria; Anthozoa; Malacalcyonacea; Plexauridae.
GACCGCGUAGCUCAGUUGGUAGAGCGUUGGGCUAGUAUUCCACAGUCACAGGUGCGAUUCCUACCGUGGUCA